RNAcentral lists this transfer RNA (73 nucleotides) under Ovis aries (sheep). It matches the Rfam family "tRNA". From Rfam's summary of the family: Transfer RNA (tRNA) molecules are approximately 80 nucleotides in length. Their secondary structure includes four short double-helical elements and three loops (D, anti-codon, and T loops). Lineage: Eukaryota; Metazoa; Chordata; Mammalia; Artiodactyla; Bovidae. The record is from Rfam by way of RNAcentral.
UCCCUGGUGGUCCAGUGGUUAGGACUCCACACUUUCAUUGCUGAAGGUGCAGGUUUCAUCCCUGGUUGGGGAA